UCUGAAACCCUAGAUAUCACAGCGUGUAUACUACUCUUUUCUAACGACAACCGGUGCUUGAAUCAUUGACGAUCUAGAGGAUACGAUCAUCAGAUAUGUGGAGAGCAUAAAGAAUCUGGAAUCGUUAGGCAUGGCUUUCUUGCAUCGUCUUUACAUGAGGCAGAUUCGAUUACGAAUAAAUCGUUGGAAUGCAACGGGAAAUCAUAAGGUCAAUGACAAUUGAGCUCCAUUAAUGCAAAAUAAUUACAAUCAAUUCACCCAUACCGUAGUUUGAUAACAUUGCUGCCAGGAUUCAUCAUCAGAUUGUGAAGAAACCCCAUUGCCACCGACCAAAACAAGCAAAUAUUUAGCCCAAUGCUGCCACAGUUACUGUAUUAGCAAAUCUUUGCAGCUACCAUCCUAUGAGGUCAAGUUCUUUGAGCUCACUCUUGACAACUUCGGAAUGCUUCAGUGUACGGAAUGGGAACCCAAUGGUUCAUUCAACAAAUUAAGUGGAACCACUUCUGCCAGUGGUCAAGGUGUUAAUUAUUCUCAGGAGAGAUUUCUGAUUCUACAUUGCCACCUAACCCACGUAAAGUUGUCUUGUAUCGUUCACCCAUCACUCACGUUUUGGCGGUUGUGAAGUUGUAAGGCAUGUGACUUUGUUUUGUGCUCUCGAUGAAAGGUUCUGGCCACUGUGUUUGAUGAGCUCUCUCUUGAUGGAGUUCUUUUACUCUACUUAUCUGCUCCAGUUAUUGCAAGCUCCACAUGAUGAUGCUGAACUGAUAAUACGUGAACGUUUCCUGUCCCAAGAUUAGUGGUGUGCGAUCAACAUAGUUCUCAGGUAUAUGUUUUAUCACAGACUACGCACAAGUCAAAUGGGUCGAAUUGGUUGAAAUCGAGUUGAAACAUAAAAGUCCUAAGGAAGCAGCACGGAUGGGAAGGAAAAUACAAAGUGAGCACCCUGAUAUUGUAAGUGCUGAUUGGGAAACUGUUAAGACACAGGUGAUGUAUAAAGUAGUGAAAUGCAAGUUCUCAAUUUACACACAUUGAAUUCAAUGCCUUAUUAAUAGCGGGCUGUGUACUGGUUGAAGAUUCUCCUCAUGAUCUCCUUUGGGGUGGGGUCCCGACGGUGAAGGUUUCAAUUUGUAAAUCUAACUUUCAAGCCAACGCGUUGCUAGUUAUUUCACACCUGAUACUUAUGCAAACAAAGAUCCAGCACUCGCCACAAGGCUGGCAGCGGGAUUAUGUGUUGAUCUUGCUUCUGCCAUAUAUUCCGUGCGCGCUAAAAGUGGGUUUGCUCUGGUGCGUCCUCCAGGUCAUCAUGCUGGCGUAAAACAUGCGAUGGGAUUCUGCCUUCACAAAAAAGUUAAUUCUUGAUUAGGAUGUACACCAUGGAAAUGGCACUCAAGAAAUAUACAAGCAGAACAAAACGGUG
RNA transcript from Helianthus annuus (common sunflower), 1417 nucleotides. RefSeq lists it as uncharacterized. NCBI's taxonomy places the organism in Eukaryota, Viridiplantae, Streptophyta, Magnoliopsida, Asterales, Asteraceae. The record is from RefSeq and is a predicted model, not a curated record. The transcript is spliced from 13 exons.